This 253-nucleotide ribosomal RNA is filed under the name uncultured bacterium. RNAcentral describes it as "partial 16S ribosomal RNA". It matches the Rfam family "Bacterial small subunit ribosomal RNA", at positions 524 to 776 of the family's 1533-position model. The record is from RNAcentral.
UACGUAGGGGGCAAGCGUUGUCCGGAUUUAUUGGGCGUAAAGAGCGUGUAGGCGGCUUUACAGGUCCGUUGUGAAAACUCGAGGCUCAACCUCGAGACGCCGGUGGAAACCGUAAAGCUAGAGUCCGGAAGAGGAGAGUGGAAUUCCACGUGUAGCGGUGAAAUGCGUAGAUAUGUGGAGGAACACCAGUGGCGAAGGCGACUCUCUGGUCUGUAACUGACGCUGAGGCGCGAAAGCGUGGGGAGCAAACAGG